Molecule: ribosomal RNA, 497 nt
Filed under: uncultured bacterium
Lineage: Bacteria
Description: partial 16S ribosomal RNA
Rfam family: Bacterial small subunit ribosomal RNA
Source: RNAcentral
GAUGAACGCUGGCGGCGUGCCUAAUACAUGCAAGUCGAGCGAACAGAUGAGGAGCUUGCUCCUCUGACGUUAGCGGCGGACGGGUGAGUAACACGUGGAUAACCUACCUAUAAGACUGGGAUAACUUCGGGAAACCGGAGCUAAUACCGGAUAAUAUAUUGAACCGCAUGGUUCAAUAGUGAAAGACGGUUUUGCUGUCACUUACAGAUGGAUCCGCGCCGCAUUAGCUAGUUGGUAAGGUAACGGCUUACCAAGGCAACGAUGCGUAGCCGACCUGAGAGGGUGAUCGGCCACACUGGAACUGAGACACGGUCCAGACUCCUACGGGAGGCAGCAGUAGGGAAUCUUCCGCAAUGGGCGAAAGCCUGACGGAGCAACGCCGCGUGAGUGAUGAAGGUCUUCGGAUCGUAAAACUCUGUUAUUAGGGAAGAACAAAUGUGUAAGUAACUAUGCACGUCUUGACGGUACCUAAUCAGAAAGCCACGGCUAACUACGUG